GAUGAACGCUGGCGGUGUGCCUAAUACAUGCAAGUCGAGCGAACGGACGAGAAGCUUGCUUUUCUGAUGUUAGCGGCGGACGGGUGAGUAACACGUGGCUAACCUACCUAUUAGACUGGGAUCACUUCGGGAAACCGGCGCUAAUACCGGAUAAUAUUUUGAACCGCAUGGUUCAAAAGUGAAAGACGGUCUUGCUGUCACUUAUAGAUGGAUCCGCGCUGCAUUAGCUAGUUGGUAAGGUAACGGCUUACCAAGGCAACGAUGCAUAGCCGACCUGAGAGGGUGAUCGGCCACACUGGAACUGAGACACGGUCCAGACUCCUACGGGAGGCAGCAGUAGGGAAUCUUCCGCAAUGGGCGAAAGCCUGACGGAGCAACGCCGCGUGAGUGAUGAAGGUCUUCGGAUCGUAAAACUCUGUUAUUAGGGAAGAACAUAUGUGUAAGUAACUGUGCACAUCUUGACGGUACCUAAUCAGAAAGCCACGGCUAACUACGUG
RNAcentral lists this ribosomal RNA (497 nucleotides) under uncultured bacterium. RNAcentral's name for it is "partial 16S ribosomal RNA". It matches the Rfam family "Bacterial small subunit ribosomal RNA", at positions 28 to 507 of the family's 1533-position model. The record is from RNAcentral.